RNAcentral lists this ribosomal RNA (450 nucleotides) under uncultured bacterium. RNAcentral describes it as "partial 16S ribosomal RNA". It matches the Rfam family "Bacterial small subunit ribosomal RNA", at positions 354 to 796 of the family's 1533-position model. The record is from RNAcentral.
GUGAGGAAUAUUGGGCAAUGGGCGAAAGCCUGACCCAGCCACGCCGCGUGAGUGAUGAAGGCCUUCGGGUUGUAAAGCUCUGUGGGGAGGGAAGAAAAAGCGGGAGAGUAACUGCUCUCGUGUUGACGGUACCUCCUUAGCAAGCACCGGCUAACUCUGUGCCAGCAGCCGCGGUAAUACAGAGGGUGCAAACGUUGCUCGGAAUUACUGGGCGUAAAGCGCGUGUAGGCUGACCUGCAAGUCGGGUGUGAAAUCCUAGGGCUCAACCUUGGAACUGCACUCGAAACUGCACGUCUUGAGUACUGGAGAGGGAAGCGGAAUUCCGGGUGUAGAGGUGAAAUUCGUAGAUAUCCGGAGGAACACCAGUGGCGAAGGCGGCUUCCUGGACAGUAACUGACGCUGAGACGCGAAAGCGUGGGGAGCAAACAGGAUUAGAUACCCUUGUAGUCC